Long non-coding RNA from Camelina sativa (false flax), 818 nucleotides. RefSeq lists it as uncharacterized. NCBI's taxonomy places the organism in Eukaryota, Viridiplantae, Streptophyta, Magnoliopsida, Brassicales, Brassicaceae. The record is from RefSeq and is a predicted model, not a curated record.
AUAUUAAUUGGGCCUUCACUUUGCUGCCUCUUUCUUUCUUCGAUGACACAAAACCACACUUUGUUCUUCUCUUCGUCUUCCUCCUCUCUUCUUCUUUCAAUGAUUUCUUCUGCAAUUAUUCUUACUAACUCUCUUCUUCUCAUGCUUGAUUCUCUUGCACAUGAUUGAUCAAAGAUGAGAUUCCAACAGUUCCUACUCCGAGCCUUUUCCGGCACCUCUUAUGAGGACUGGAUCUGGUGCUUCUCAAGAUAAGUCGCAGCUCCAACCAUUGUCGCCACCAUUUUCGUACUCAAAGGAAGCGCAGCCAUUUCCGUUAAGCCGUAAACAAAGUGAAGAAAGUAUGAAGAUAUAAUUAUUAUCAUAUUUCAAGAUUGGGUUGUUGCCAUAAACGGCAUUUUGCGGAUAUUCAGAUUUGUGGAGGUAUAAUGCGAAAGAGUGUUGUUAUGGUUGGUUCCUAAUGUUCCGUAACAUAAUAUUUUGUUUGUGAUAAAUUGACAUAUUUAUCUCCCUAAUAAUUUAACACAAUUUGUUCACAGGUCUGUUUGGAAACAAUUGUAUUCUAAACAGGAUCCGAAUAAGAUAAUACUUACUACUAAGGAUCCGCGUCCCAUUACUUCUGUUAGAUUACCAUUUUGUCCUCAUGUGUUUUUUUCCUUCUUAUUUUUUGUAAAUCGUAGGGGCAUUAUAUGUCAUACAUACUUAAUUGUUUUUUUUAUCCUUGAGUGUGCUUAGUAUAGAUACAGUCAAAUAUUAUUUUUUAUAUGUGGACCAUAUUUGACCCAAUUUGCUAAUCUAAGGCCCAAAUGUCCUGGAAACAA